GUACGGGAGGCAGCAGUGGGGAAUCUUGCACAAUGGGCGAAAGCCUGAUGCAGCGACGCCGCGUGGAGGAUGAAGGCCUUCGGGUUGUAAACUCCUUUUCUUGGGAAAGAUGAUGACGGUACCCAAGGAAUAAGCCACGGCUAACUCUGUGCCAGCAGCCGCGGUAAGACAGAGGUGGCAAGCGUUGUUCGGAAUUACUGGGCUUAAAGGGCGAGUAGGCGGUGGAGCAAGUCUGAUGUGGAAUCCUAUGGCUUAACCAUAGAACUGCCUUAGAAACUGCUUUACUUGAGUCAGUGAGGGGAGGGCGGAAUUCCUGGUGUAGCGGUGAAAUGCGUAGAUAUCAGGAGGAAGGCCUGUGGCGAAAGCGGCCCUCUGGCACUGUACUGACGCUGAGGCGCGAAAGCGUGGGGAGCAAACAGGAUUAGAUACCCCGGU
This 435-nucleotide ribosomal RNA is filed under the name uncultured bacterium. RNAcentral's name for it is "bacterial SSU rRNA". It matches the Rfam family "Bacterial small subunit ribosomal RNA", at positions 339 to 791 of the family's 1533-position model. The record is from RNAcentral.